UUCGCCCUUAGAGUUUGAUCCUGGCUCAGGACGAACGCUGGCGGCGCGCCUAACACAUGCAAGUCGAACGGAGCUUAAAGAGCUUGCUUUUUAAGCUUAGUGGCGAACGGGUGAGUAACGCGUGAGUAACCUGCCCUGGAGUGGGGGACAACAGUUGGAAACGACUGCUAAUACCGCAUAAGCCCACGGGUCGGCAUCGACCAGAGGGAAAAGGAGCAAUCCGCCUUGAGAUGGCCUCGCGUCCGAUUAGCUAGUUGGUGAGGUAACGGCCCACCAAGGCGACGAUCGGUAGCCGGACUGAGAGGUUGAACGGCCACAUUGGGACUGAGACACGGCCCAGACUCCUACGGGAGGCAGCAGUGGGGAAUAUUGCACAAUGGGGGAAACCCUGAUGCAGCGACGCCGCGUGGAGGAAGAAGGUCUUCGGAUUGUAAACUCCUGUUGUUGAGGAAGAUAAUGACGGUACUCAACAAGGAAGUGACGGCUAACUACGUGCCAGCAGCCGCGGUAAAACGUAGGUCACAAGCGUUGUCCGGAAUUACUGGGUGUAAAGGGAGCGCAGGCGGGAAGACAAGUUGGAAGUGAAAUCCAUGGGCUCAACCCAUGAACUGCUUUCAAAACUGUUUUUCUUGAGUAGUGCAGAGGUAGGCGGAAUUCCCGGUGUAGCGGUGGAAUGCGUAGAUAUCGGGAGGAACACCAGUGGCGAAGGCGGCCUACUGGGCACCAACUGACGCUGAGGCUCGAAAGUGUGGGUAGCAAACAGGAUUAGAUACCCUGGUAGUCCACACCGUAAACGAUGAUUACUAGGUGUUGGAGGAUUGACCCCUUCAGUGCCGCAGUUAACACAAUAAGUAAUCCACCUGGGGAGUACGACCGCAAGGUUGAAACUCAAAGGAAUUGACGGGGGCCCGCACAAGCAGUGGAGUAUGUGGUUUAAUUCGACGCAACGCGAAGAACCUUACCAAGUCUUGACAUCCCUUGACGAUGCUGGAAACAGUAUUUCUCUUCGGAGCAAGGAGACAGGUGGUGCAUGGUUGUCGUCAGCUCGUGUCGUGAGAUGUUGGGUUAAGUCCCGCAACGAGCGCAACCCUUAUGGUCAGUUACUACGCAAGAGGACUCUGGCCAGACUGCCGUUGACAAAACGGAGGAAGGUGGGGAUGACGUCAAAUCAUCAUGCCCUUUAUGACUUGGGCUACACACGUACUACAAUGGCGUUAAACAAAGAGAAGCAAGACCGCGAGGUGGAGCAAAACUCAGAAACAACGUCCCAGUUCGGACUGCAGGCUGCAACUCGCCUGCACGAAGUCGGAAUUGCUAGUAAUCGUGGAUCAGCAUGCCACGGUGAAUACGUUCCCGGGCCUUGCACACACCGCCCGUCA
Molecule: ribosomal RNA, 1379 nt
Filed under: uncultured bacterium
Lineage: Bacteria
Description: 16S ribosomal RNA
Rfam family: Bacterial small subunit ribosomal RNA
Source: RNAcentral